Molecule: small RNA, 241 nt
Filed under: Meriones unguiculatus (Mongolian gerbil)
Lineage: Eukaryota; Metazoa; Chordata; Mammalia; Rodentia; Muridae
Description: 7SK RNA (ENSMUGG00000018216.1)
Rfam family: 7SK RNA (bases 1-182)
About the family: 7SK was discovered as an abundant small nuclear RNA in the mid-70s but a possible function has only recently been suggested. Two independent studies have found that 7SK RNA binds the CDK9/cyclin T complex (known as elongation factor P-TEFb).
Source: RNAcentral
GGAUGGAGGGUGGUCUCCCUAUGAUGGCUGUCACCCCACUGUACUCCAGAGUUGACUCUGCUAGUCUCCAUAAGCAGGUGUUACCUUCCUCCCUCAUCGCUCCAUGUGUAUCUCUCCUGAAUCUGUGCAUCCAGCCGAAGAGGUUGGCCUUCACCAACAGCUAAGAGCCAAUCUACUUGUUCCUCGGCUAGAGUCUCCAAACUCUCAUGAGCAGCCAUAACAAAGGCUGUGCAGUGUACGU